GAUGAACGCUGGCGGCGUGCUUAACACAUGCAAGUCGAGCGAAGCGCUUUGGCGGAUUUCUUCGGAUUGAAGCCUUGGUGACUGAGCGGCGGACGGGUGAGUAACGCGUGGGUAACCUGCCUCAUACAGGGGGAUAACAGUUGGAAACGACUGCUAAUACCGCAUAAGCGCACAGUACCGCAUGGUACGGUGUGAAAAACUCCGGUGGUAUGAGAUGGACCCGCGUCUGAUUAGGUAGUUGGUGGGGUAACGGCCUACCAAGCCGACGAUCAGUAGCCGACCUGAGAGGGUGACCGGCCACAUUGGGACUGAGACACGGCCCAAACUCCUACGGGAGGCAGCAGUGGGGAAUAUUGCACAAUGGGGGAAACCCUGAUGCAGCGACGCCGCGUGAGCGAUGAAGUAUUUCGGUAUGUAAAGCUCUAUCAGCAGGGAAGAAAAUGACGGUACCUGACUAAGAAGCCCCGGCUAACUACGUGCCAGCAGCCGCGGUAAUACGUAGGGGGCAAGCGUUAUCCGGAUUUACUGGGUGUAAAGGGAGCGUAGACGGCAUGGCAAGCCAGAUGUGAAAGCCCGGGGCUCAACCCCGGGACUGCAUUUGGAACUGUCAGGCUAGAGUGUCGGAGAGGUAAGCGGAAUUCCUAGUGUAGCGGUGAAAUGCGUAGAUAUUAGGAGGAACACCAGUGGCGAAGGCGGCUUACUGGACGAUGACUGACGUUGAGGCUCGAAAGCGUGNGGAGCAAACAGG
RNAcentral lists this ribosomal RNA (748 nucleotides) under uncultured bacterium. RNAcentral describes it as "bacterial SSU rRNA". It matches the Rfam family "Bacterial small subunit ribosomal RNA", at positions 28 to 776 of the family's 1533-position model. The record is from RNAcentral.